UUUGCCUCCCUCCCUCUCUGUUUGUAACUAUUUUUUUCUCCUUCCCUUCCCCCAUGGUCUUCUGUUAAGUUUCUCAAGGUCUUUUUGAAGCAAUAAGUUCAUUUUAUUUCAUCAGGGCUGUAAUAAAUAUUGUAGUAAAGCAGCUUUUUAAAACUUCAACUCAUCAUGUGCCAAACUUACUUGACCAUAAGUCCCUUCUUAUAAUGCCUAUUAAUAUCUUUUGCAUGUGAACUAUUUUUGUAAACACUGCUCUAGCUGAAAGAAAUAAUCUCAGGGGUGGAAAUUCUAAAACAUUAUAGCUUGAGGCCCACUAAGUUUAUGAGAGAGCAAGUUGCUUUCUCGGUAAACCAGUCACAUUCUUCUUCUACAUAUGGGACCCUUGUCCUUUUAAAAAAGGGAAAUCCCUCUAUGUAAUGAUCUUCCUUCACAGUCCUUUCUUACUCUUCCCUAUACCCCACUUCUUAGUUCAACUUAAUGAGAUAUUGAAAACAAAAAACAAGAAAACAGGUUUGUGGGAUUUUAGAAGCAUGGUAAUAAAAUAAAUGGCUUUAUCACUGAUAUAUCUAGUCCAUAAAUCAAGCUUUCAGAAUUAGAGGGUUUUUUUUUGAGGUAAAUGGUAUAACAAAUAGAAGAAUAAAGAUGGUCAAGUGGACCAUGGUGCCAUUACUUUGUUCUCUACUUCUAAUGCUUUUUUACUUAUUCUCAAAGGAAAUGUUAGAAAUUAAACUUAUAUUUUUAUGUAGUUUUUCUUAUCAUAUUGGACUGAAUUGCCUUCUGAAAUUACAUAAUGCAAUUACCUCCAAAAUGAGAAAUUAUAGCAAAUAUACAUAAAGGAAAAAGAAAAUAUGGCUUCCUAAACUAACAUGUUAGAAGCCUCAUUAAUACUUUUCUGUAGCUUUCUGUAUGCUGAAAUAUACACUGUCUCUAAUACACA
Molecule: long non-coding RNA, 934 nt
Organism: Prionailurus viverrinus (fishing cat)
Lineage: Eukaryota; Metazoa; Chordata; Mammalia; Carnivora; Felidae
Exons: 3
Source: RefSeq, a predicted model, not a curated record